CACCGACAGAGAAAAAAAUAUUUGCAGAGUAAGUAAUAGGCAAAAACAUUUUAUGCAGAAUAUAAAAAUCUAUGUCAGUAAGAAAAACAGCAACAAAAUAGACAUGCAUCAAAAAUAGGAACAAGCAAUUCACUGAAAAGGACAAAUAGCCACUAAACACAUGGAGGGGGAAAAGUGGCUCAACUUCAUCAGCAAUCUGAUUAAUGCAAAAUUAAAAUGACCAUUAGAAUACAUUUAAUCCCUAAAAGACCACCAAUGUAGAUCAACAUGUAACAGUGUCAAAAACUCACUGCUGAGUGAAAAAAAAAACAUAAAACGACACAUUUAAUAUGAUACCUUUUCUGUAAUGGUAAAAGAAUACAAGCACUGUUUUGGUUACACAAACCUGAAGACUACUUCUACAGUUUAAUGUUUACCCUUAAUACCUCAACUACUAGAGUGCAUUAGCAACUUGCUUGUAGUGUGUCUCCUGCAAUCCAGUUUUUCAAACUUUUUAAAACAUAGCCCUUCAUGAUCAAUAUGAGAAUCUCACUGGUCAACUUGUGGCAAUCUAGGAAAACGGAAGACUUUUUAUAUUACAAACUUUUAGGAAACAAGCACUAUACAUGUAUGCUAGAACUUAUCCAUGUACCUUAUUCAUAUACUAAUGGAAACACAAAAUUUAAUUUAAAACUUGGCUUAAUUAAAAGUAAUAAAAGAUUAAUUUCAUGAGAGGGUUACUUUCACCAGGGUGAAGGAGAAGCUUUGCAUAAGACCAUCUGAAGCCCACUAUGUAUUUAGGAACUACUAAUUUUCAACUGACUUUCUAAAUUAUUCCUGUAAUUUUCAAACAAGGUAAGUAUAGUUUUGUUCACUACAGGAAGUAUAAUACUCCUGAGAGAAAGGUUAUUUGGUGUGACCAUUCAGGACAGAAAGUAAAGCAGCUCAAGGACAGACGAAUCAAUCAAAAAGGAGCAACACCCGAUAAUUCUUCUGGUAAUGGAAAGACUGAUCAACUUAUUACUUGUUCUCAUUAUUUCUACAUAACUUUGAAACUUGUCCAAUGGUUGACAGUAAUGCUAAAUGAACAUGAAGUUGCUCCAUUACUCUCCUACUUUCACAAUCUAUCUUUUCUAACUAAAUUUCCACUACUUCCCUACCUAUUAAAUCUACACCAAACUGUAAAUAUUUGCCGUCUUCGGAAGAACCUUCAGGCCCAUAAUGCCCUUUCCCGCACUCCCACCUCCACCUAACAAAGUUACACCCAUUUUUCAGUAAGUAACCUUUCCAAAAUACCAUCUACUUCAGGCACUCUUUCUGAAUGCUUUAAAUGAAGACUUCUCCUUUCUAUGAGACACGAGCAGUAACCUUUUUGUAGCCAUCACCUGCAUUUUAAAACUUUUUCUAUCUUGGCCCAGUGCAUGGGUCACCAUAGGCUCGGAGUUUUUACUAGCAAUCUUGAACAGUAAGCAAUCUUAAGAAUUCUCAAACCAGAUAGCAACUCUAAACAGCACCAGCGUAGAUGAACCCAUAAAUAUUGCAUCAGUUUUCGUGUUUCAAUAAGAAAACUCCUUUUCCAUCUCUUACUCAAUAAGCAGUAAACACAGGUUUUCAAGAAACUUUUUCCAAAUAAGAAGGAAUAAUAGUCUUCAAACUUUCAUUCCCCGGCUUUUUGAGCCUGCAAAAUGGACUUUUUCCGCUACUGGACAAAAAAGUGAUGAGAACUUUUUCCCCCAUCAAAUUUAAUUUUUACUAAUCAGAUACUCCGGGAGGUAACUGCUAGAAAACAACCUCUCGGAGAUCACCCUAACAGCCACAUAUGACUGCUUAAGUACCGAUAAAAUUUCUUAGGGUCUCAUCUGCUUUGGCGAGCCGGCUACCUGGGCUUCCAUCCACCACGAUCGCCCUCUCCAGGUAAAAGGCGACAGGCCGAGAUCGCAGCAGCAACUCAACCGAAACGCAGCCGAAGCAGCAGACAGUUAUGCGUCACUGUCUCUAAAGGUGGCGCUGCCGCCGAGCCUGGAGCCCGAGCGCCCAUCAUGGCGGCGGGAGGAGUUGCUGCCACCAGGAACGAUCACGCCCCCUCUGCGCACAUAAGAUGUCGUGCCGGGCUUCUGGUACCGUCACCGGGGCCACUGUGGCCGCUGCCCGCACACCGACACCCCCUCACGAGCUAUGGCGGAAUUUUCUCUUCAGAUACCGCCUUCAAGAUGGCGGCUCCCCUUCCCAGCCACCCCUUCCCAACCGUCCCCUCAGGAGGCGUAAAUCAACCACCAUCUUGUCCCCCGUUCCUCCCCCCUUUCGAUAUUUACAUAGCCAAAGCCCGGCCGGCCGGAAUGCGGCCUUUACCUCACGCCUGCAGCCUUCGCCUCCUUGCCAGGCUUCGCCUCGGCGCCGUGCCCCAAGCCAGACGCGGCGCCGACCGGGAAACCUCCAGUCGCCUUCUGGGCCACCAUGCGAGGCUCCACCAGCCCCCGCCCGAUAACGGAGUCCUCAGUCGCUCUGGGCAGCCGGACUCCUCUGGGGCCUACCUGCGGCCUGCACGAGGCCUGCUGGCCGCCGUGUGCUACAUCGCCCGGCCUAGUGCGUGUAAGGGCGCCUCGCGGGCCUCCAGCUAGGCCGCCCCACUCGUGUUAGGACCCGCGGCCGCGGCGGCGCCCCAGACUCACCAGACCCGAACUCGGCCCGUCGGCGACGGUGGUGGGUGCUGCAGGCCGGUCUUUCUCUGGAGCACUGGGCCGGGCUCCGGCUGGUGGGGCGGGAGGAGGGAGGGAGGAGGGGCCGACCUCGAAGCUGACAAAAAGCGGCCCAGCGCUCCGGCACGGACUCGCCGUCAGCACGUCACGUCAUUGCCAGGGAGAGAGACCCACGAAAAUGCGGAAGGGUAGAUAGGCCCCCUCCUCCGCCGGUGGGUCUCCGUGCGCCUAGUGUCGCCUGCGCUCAGGCCACCGCGAACGGGAAGCUCGCCGGCCUCGCAAGAGAGGGGUCUCCGGCGACCAGCCGAAGUCUGUGGUGACAACGUUCUUUCCUCCUCCGCGUUUCCGCCCGUAGCCGCCGCACACGCGGCGCUGCCGCUGCCUCGGCCGUAAAGCCCGCUCGGGAUCGCUGUUUUCGACCGGACACGCAAUGGACCCGCGCCACUUCGGACCCGGUCUCACCCUGCCUUCUUCCCGGAGACCGAGCUCCUAUCCGCGACCGUCCUCGCCGAGAAUUCCGAUGGAGUUGUUUGCAGGCCUUCAGACCCUUCCGCACUGUAAAUGUGUUUUAUUCAUCCCUGUAGCUAGAAAAGAAAAAUUCAGCAACUUUCCGCCCUACCCUGCGCUCGCUUAAAAAAACGGAAAGAAAACCUUUGAAAUACAAUGAAAAUAGGCGUGACAGUCUACAUGGUUGUGUGGGUAACAGGAGAGUGAAAACUAUCUAAGCAAAUACCACAUCUUUUAAUUUGUAAAAUUAAUCAGACAACCUGAUUUCAAUAUAAUCAAAAGAAAAGAAGAGUUACAGUUUGACAGUACUUUUGCACUUUUCAGUAAACAGAAACUUUUCACGUUUACUGUGUCUGAUUCAGCAUUUGGGAGCCUGUGAAAUCUAAGUCUUGUGUGAUUGUUUCAUAAGUAAUAAAUUUUUGUAUUUACAUUUUCUUUAAUAAAUAUAGAAUAGCAGAAUUGGAUAUGAAUUUGUUUUUUACAGAGUGCCUAAACAAGACCUCAAGUGUAAGAAGCUUUAGAGAAAGGAGAAAAUGUACUUGAUUAAACAGAUGUCAACUCCAAAAACAUAUGUUUGCGUUUUCAUUAUUUUAAAUUUCUGGGUUUUUUUUGUGUAGAACUUGGGGUCUAAGCCAUGUCUACAAGUUACUAGUAAAAAGUUAAACUACUAAAGCUAAAAAAUGUGAUCUUGCUCUACAUUAAUCUAGAAUCUAACGUACAAUACUUCCUUACUAGAGACUUAAAAAAAG
Long non-coding RNA from Equus asinus (donkey), 3931 nucleotides. Lineage: Eukaryota; Metazoa; Chordata; Mammalia; Perissodactyla; Equidae. The record is from Ensembl.